AUCCCCCGGUAGGGUGGCAAACGGGUGAGUAAUACAUGGGUGAUCUACCUUAGGGAUGGGGAUAUCCUUCCGAAAGGAGGGGCAAUACCGAAUAUUGUCCGGAGCCGUGAAGGGUUCCGGGGAAAGGGAGGCCUCUGAUACAAGCUUUCGCCUUAAGAUGAGCCCAUGGCCCAUCAGCUAGUUGGUAGGGUAAAGGCCUACCAAGGCUACGACGGGUCGCUGGUCUGAGAGGACGACCAGCCACACUGGCACUGAGAUACGGGCCAGACUCCUACGGGAGGCAGCAGUGAGGAAUAUUGCGCAAUGGGGGAAACCCUGACGCAGCAACGCCGCGUGUGGGAAGAAGGCCUUCGGGUCGUAAACCACUUUUGCACGGGACGAAAAGGGAUAUCGAACAAUAUCCCCGAUGACGGUACCGUGAGAAUAAGCCACGGCUAACUCUGUGCCAGC
RNAcentral lists this ribosomal RNA (450 nucleotides) under uncultured bacterium. RNAcentral's name for it is "bacterial SSU rRNA". It matches the Rfam family "Bacterial small subunit ribosomal RNA", at positions 82 to 512 of the family's 1533-position model. The record is from RNAcentral.